AGAAUGGAAUUGUACAAGCUAUACCAACACUCUGUGCAUGCAUCAGUGGUAUUUUCAUUUCAUUCCUAAGUGAUCUAACUGUCAAACGACGAUGGCUGUCUAGAUUAAACGCCAGAAGAUUCUUUCAGAUACUUGGGUGUACUUUUUAUGGACUGGGUCCAGUAAUAAUGUCUUUCAUCCCAGCGGCAUACAACAAAUGGGCUGUAGUAGUCAUGUCUGUUCAAGAUGUAUUUUUGAUCGUGUUCAUCAUUGGCGGUAGUAACAUCAACACAUUCGAAAUAUCACCGGUUUUCGCUGGAGUAAUCAAUGGAAUGGCUACCACUUGCACUUCAAUCUUGUUUCUCUACUAGCAACAUACUUAUACAAAUGGGUUAUUAAUGAUCCGGAAAAUGUAGCAGAAUGGAGGUUAUCUUUUUGUAUCACUGCCAUCAUUACCAUAACUUCGGGACUAAUAUAUGGCGUUAUGGCUUCAGAUAAAAGGCAGAAUUGGGAAGGUGAAAUAGAAGUGAAUCCAAACGAAGCAAAGAGACAUAGCAUCACGAGUAUCGAGCAGGCCAUUACUAGAAUGUAGUUUUUAGAGAAAUAUUUAUUUAGGAAUAUUUUUAUUACUGUUUAUAUAUUUUACAUACCAACAGCCUAGUAUUAGCCCCUACGGCUAAUACUUUCCGAGAUACAGCCGAGAGCUAUUCUUAGUGGGACACCCUGUAUAUCGAGUAUUAAGAAAAUAAUUUUAAUACUUAAUUUAAUCAGAAUUUUUUUCAAUAAAAUAUAUAUUUAUAAUGUAAAAAAAUCAUCAUUUAUUUUUGAUGAUUUGUAAUUAUUUUGUUUUGAGUUAAUUUUUUUUAAUUUUGUGUUUUUUUGUCAAUUUUAUAAGAGGAUGAUUUAUACAUUAAUACACCAGGUGUUUCUCAAAAGUGGUUCCCCCCAUUAACUUUGUAAUUUUUUCAGAUAAUAAAACGCAAUUUGGUAUGUUA
Long non-coding RNA from Sitophilus oryzae (rice weevil), 974 nucleotides. RefSeq lists it as uncharacterized. The transcript has 3 exons. The record is from RefSeq and is a predicted model, not a curated record. Lineage: Eukaryota; Metazoa; Arthropoda; Insecta; Coleoptera; Curculionidae.